Molecule: non-coding RNA, 749 nt
Organism: Labrus bergylta (ballan wrasse)
Lineage: Eukaryota; Metazoa; Chordata; Actinopteri; Labriformes; Labridae
Source: RefSeq, a predicted model, not a curated record
UACACAUUUUGCUUGUAUUACAAAUCCAGCUCCAGAUUAGCCUCAGAAAGUCAGACUUGCCCUCUUCUUUGUUAGCAUGCUAUACUGGUACACCUGUCCUCCCUGUCUCCACGACCUUCAGUUUGUCAACCAGCCUCGUCACUUCAACAAGCCUACCUGCUAGCCAUCACCAUCUUGGACCACCAAGUCAUUCUCCAGCACAACCUCUACCAGCUACCCCUUCAUUUCUCCCCUACCUGCUUUUUCUGAAUACAACUCACCUUUUACACCUUGACUGUAGUCCAGCCUAAAGUCGUGACUAAUUUACCCCAAACCAGUAUUUCUUUGUCACUUUAAAACAGCCAGUGAGAAAACAGUUUCCCUGUGUUGGUGACUGUUUAGGCAAAGAAAAAAACAAGUUGAUUUCUCGCAGUAAAAUGUCAGACAGCUGCACUGACCGCUGCUACCACUGACACCCAAUAUGCUUUACCACUCCUGUUAAUGCUUUUUUCAAUUUGAAACCCUUGUUGAAAAGCUGCCUAAUGCAUCAUUUAUUUUCUGCCCAUGACCUUUUAAUACCUGAAGGCUUUCAUCCUUGCUGAGGAAACCGUGUGUUUUCAUGUGGAUGAAGCUGUUUCUGAGAACACAAGCCUGUGUGGAAGGGAAGCGGAGGAGGUACUCCCUGGAGGAUUAGAACCAGCUCUUCCUUCAUCACCUCAUCAUGUCAUAGAGAAUCAUAAUGUUCUUAUUAAAGUACUUUAACAACAGGA